This 800-nucleotide ribosomal RNA is filed under the name uncultured bacterium. Its description in RNAcentral is "bacterial SSU rRNA". It matches the Rfam family "Bacterial small subunit ribosomal RNA", at positions 8 to 810 of the family's 1533-position model. The record is from RNAcentral.
AGAGUUUGAUUUUGGCUCAGGAUGAACGCUGGCGGCGUGCUUAACACAUGCAAGUCGAACGGGAAACAUUUAUUGAAGCUUCGGCAGAUUUAGUUUGUUUCUAGUGGCGGACGGGUGAGUAACGCGUGGGUAACCUGCCUCACACUGGGGGAUAACAGUCAGAAAUGACUGCUAAUACCGCAUAAGCGCACGGGUUUGCAUGAUCCAGUGUGAAAAACUCCGGUGGUGUGAGAUGGACCCGCGUUGGAUUAGCCAGUUGGCAGGGUAACGGCCUACCAAAGCGACGAUCCAUAGCCGGCCUGAGAGGGUGGACGGCCACAUUGGGACUGAGACACGGCCCAGACUCCUACGGGAGGCAGCAGUGGGGAAUAUUGCACAAUGGGGGAAACCCUGAUGCAGCGACGCCGCGUGAAGGAAGAAGUAUCUCGGUAUGUAAACUUCUAUCAGCAGGGAAGAAAAUGACGGUACCUGACUAAGAAGCCCCGGCUAACUACGUGCCAGCAGCCGCGGUAAUACGUAGGGGGCAAGCGUUAUCCGGAUUUACUGGGUGUAAAGGGAGCGUAGACGGAGCAGCAAGUCUGAUGUGAAAGGCAGGGGCUCAACCCCUGGACUGCAUUGGAAACUGUUGAUCUUGAGUACCGGAGAGGUAAGCGGAAUUCCUAGUGUAGCGGUGAAAUGCGUAGAUAUUAGGAGGAACACCAGUGGCGAAGGCGGCUUACUGGACGGUAACUGACGUUGAGGCUCGAAAGCGUGGGGAGCAAACAAGAUUAGAUACCCUGGUAGUCCACGCCGUAAACGAU